Long non-coding RNA from Herpailurus yagouaroundi (jaguarundi), 351 nucleotides. RefSeq lists it as uncharacterized. Lineage: Eukaryota; Metazoa; Chordata; Mammalia; Carnivora; Felidae. The record is from RefSeq and is a predicted model, not a curated record. The transcript has 2 exons.
GGCAUCUCUUCUUUGGAGCUUGCUAUAAACUACACAGUGUCUUUCCCACCACAGAUAGUUUUGGUACUAUAGGAUUGGCCAGGCUGAACGGAUGAGGCACAGAACUGUUUACAUCAUAGCCUAGAGCCUGCUGCAGUUUCUCCUAGAUUUACAACUGUCAGCUUAUGAUCUUCAUUAAAAGGAAUGUAGCAGUAUUCUCAAAUACGUUACCAUGUCAUCAGUAUGUGGAUGAAUUUGAUGUUCUACAGAUGUCCAGAUCAUUCAGGUUCCUUCAAACUACAUCAUGACUGAAAGUCGAAGAGUGAACACUGACCUGUGGGAAGAUCCCAACUAAAUAUAUACUAUUCUCCA